AUACGGAGGGUGCAAGCGUUAAUCGGAAUUACUGGGCGUAAAGCGCACGCAGGCGGUCUGUUAAGUCAGAUGUGAAAUCCCCGGGCUUAACCUGGGAACUGCAUUUGAAACUGGCAGGCUUGAGUCUCGUAGAGGGGGGUAGAAUUCCAGGUGUAGCGGUGAAAUGCGUAGAGAUCUGGAGGAAUACCGGUGGCGAAGGCGGCCCCCUGGACGAAGACUGACGCUCAGGUGCGAAAGCGUGGGGCGCAAACAGGAUUAGAUACCCUGGUAGUCCACGCCGUAAACGAUGUCGACUUGGAGGCUGUUCCCCUGAGGAGUGGCUUCCGGAGCUAACGCGUUAAGUCGACCGCCUGGGGAGUACGGCCGCAAGGUUAAA
This 376-nucleotide ribosomal RNA is filed under the name uncultured bacterium. Its description in RNAcentral is "bacterial SSU rRNA". It matches the Rfam family "Bacterial small subunit ribosomal RNA", at positions 523 to 898 of the family's 1533-position model. The record is from RNAcentral.